AUAUCAAUAAGCGGAGGAAAAGAAACCAACAGGGAUUGCCUCAGUAACGGCGAGUGAAGCGGCAACAGCUCAAAUUUGAAAUCUGGCCCCAGGCCCGAGUUGUAAUUUGCAGAGGAUGCUUCGGGUACGGCGCCUUCCAAGUCCCCUGGAACGGGGCGCCAUGGAGGGUGAGAGCCCCGUACGGUUGGACGCCGUGCCCGUGUGAAGCUCCUUCGACGAGUCGAGUAGUUUGGGAAUGCUGCUCAAAAUGGGAGGUAGACCCCUUCUAAAGCUAAAUACCGGCUGGAGACCGAUAGCGCACAAGUA
This 306-nucleotide ribosomal RNA is filed under the name uncultured Chaetomium. Its description in RNAcentral is "partial large subunit ribosomal RNA". It matches the Rfam family "Eukaryotic large subunit ribosomal RNA", at positions 40 to 350 of the family's 3401-position model. The record is from RNAcentral. Lineage: Eukaryota; Fungi; Ascomycota; Sordariomycetes; Sordariales; Chaetomiaceae.